This 735-nucleotide ribosomal RNA is filed under the name Triticum aestivum (bread wheat). RNAcentral describes it as "partial small subunit ribosomal RNA". Lineage: Eukaryota; Viridiplantae; Streptophyta; Magnoliopsida; Poales; Poaceae. The record is from RNAcentral.
AUGAUUCAAGAAUAUAAUCCGAGUAUUGAGUAUACUCCAGGCAAGGCCAAUGUGAUUGCUGACGCAUUGAGCAGGAAGGCUUACUGCAACAGUCUGAUUCUCAAGCCUUAUCAACCCGAGCUUUGUGAAGCUUUCCACAAACUUAAUCUGCAAGUUGUUCCUCAAGGUUUCCUUGCCAACCUUCAAGUCUCUCCUACCUUGGAAGACCAGAUUCGCCAAGCCCAGCUUCUUGAUGCUAUGGUGAAAAAGGUGAAGAUUGGGAUUGCCAAGAGUCAACCCAAGUACAAGUGCUACCGCCUUGAUGACAAGGACACUCUCUUCUUCGAGGAUCGUAUUGUUGUACCCAAAGGUGACCUCCAUAAAGUGAUCAUGAAUGAGGCUCACAAUUCUCUCCUCUCCAUCCACCCUGGGAGCACGAAGAUGUAUCAGGACCUCAAGCAGGCUUAUUGGUGGACUCGAAUGAAGCGCGAGAUUGCUCAAUUCGUGAAUGAAUGUGAUGUCUGCAGAAGAGUGAAGGCAGAACAUCAAAGGCCAGCGGGUCUCCUCCAACCUCUUGCCAUUCCAAAAUGGAAGUUUUACCACAUUGAGAUGGACUUCGUGACUGGGUUUCCAAAGUCCAAGCCUGGCAAUGAUGCUAUAUUCGUUGUCAUCGACAAACUCACCAAAGUGGGUCACUUUCUGCCUAUCAAAGAGUCUAUCACUGCAUCUCAAUUGGCGGAACUCUAUACCUCUUGA